UUAACUCAAAUUUGUAUGGAGUUGGAACGUUAGUCGCUAGGGGCACUGUUCCAAUUGCAUACAAAUGUCAGUUA
Molecule: microRNA precursor, 74 nt
Filed under: Bombyx mori (domestic silkworm)
Lineage: Eukaryota; Metazoa; Arthropoda; Insecta; Lepidoptera; Bombycidae
Description: mir-2807 microRNA precursor family
Rfam family: mir-2807 microRNA precursor family
Source: Rfam by way of RNAcentral